AGGGAGCUUGCUCCCGGAUGUUAGCGGCGGACGGGUGAGUAACACGUGGGUAACCUGCCUGUAAGACUGGGAUAACUCCGGGAAACCGGAGCUAAUACCGGAUAGUUCCUUGAACCGCAUGGUUCAAGGAUGAAAGACGGUUUCGGCUGUCACUUACAGAUGGACCCGCGGCGCAUUAGCUAGUUGGUGGGGUAAUGGCUCACCAAGGCGACGAUGCGUAGCCGACCUGAGAGGGUGAUCGGCCACACUGGGACUGAGACACGGCCCAGACUCCUACGGGAGGCAGCAGUAGGGAAUCUUCCGCAAUGGACGAAAGUCUGACGGAGCAACGCCGCGUGAGUGAUGAAGGUUUUCGGAUCGUAAAGCUCUGUUGUUAGGGAAGAACAAGUGCGAGAGUAACUGCUCGCACCUUGACGGUACCUAACCAGAAAGCCACGGCUAACUACGUGCCAGCAGCCGCGGUAAUACGUAGGUGGCAAGCGUUGUCCGGAAUUAUUGGGCGUAAAGGGCUCGCAGGCGGUUUCUUAAGUCUGAUGUGAAAGCCCCCGGCUCAACCGGGGAGGGUCAUUGGAAACUGGGAAACUUGAGUGCAGAAGAGGAGAGUGGAAUUCCACGUGUAGCGGUGAAAUGCGUAGAGAUGUGGAGGAACACCAGUGGCGAAGGCGACUCUCUGGUCUGUAACUGACGCUGAGGAGCGAAAGCGUGGGGAGCGAACAGGAUUAGAUACCCUGGUAGUCCACGCCGUAACGAUGAGUGCUAAGUGUUAGGGGGUUUCCGCCCCUUAGUGCUGCAGCUAACGCAUUAAGCACUCCGC
RNAcentral lists this ribosomal RNA (814 nucleotides) under Bacillus safensis. Its description in RNAcentral is "bacterial SSU rRNA". It matches the Rfam family "Bacterial small subunit ribosomal RNA", at positions 73 to 872 of the family's 1533-position model. Lineage: Bacteria; Bacillati; Bacillota; Bacilli; Caryophanales; Bacillaceae. The record is from RNAcentral.